AUUGAACGCUGGCGGUAGGCCUAACACAUGCAAGUCGAGCGGCAGCACAGUAAUAGCUUGCUCUUACGGGUGGCGAGUGGCGAGCGAGUGCGAAAAACAUCGCUAUCUACUGUUUAGUGGGGGAUAACGUGGGGGCACAUACGCUAAUACCGCAUACGACCUACGGGUGAAAUCAUCGGAUCUUCGGCCCUUGCGCGAGUCAAUGAGCCGAUGUCGGAUUAGCUAGUUGGCGGGGUAAAGGCCCACCAAGGCGACGAUCCGUAGCUGGUCUGAGAGGAUGAUCAGCCACACUGGAACUGAGACACGGUCCAGACUCCUACGGGAGGCAGCAGUGGGGAAUAUUGGACAAUGGGCGCAAGCCUGAUCCAGCCAUACCGCGUGUGUGAAGAAGGCCUUCGGGUUGUAAAGCACUUUUGUUGGGGAAGAAAAGCAGCAGGUUAAUACCCCGCUGUUCUGACGGUACCAAAAGAAUAAGCACCGGCUAACUUCGUG
Molecule: ribosomal RNA, 492 nt
Filed under: uncultured bacterium
Lineage: Bacteria
Description: partial 16S ribosomal RNA
Rfam family: Bacterial small subunit ribosomal RNA
Source: RNAcentral